RNAcentral lists this ribosomal RNA (962 nucleotides) under Cortinarius sp. PDD 107503. Its description in RNAcentral is "LSU rRNA". It matches the Rfam family "Eukaryotic large subunit ribosomal RNA", at positions 30 to 978 of the family's 3401-position model. Lineage: Eukaryota; Fungi; Basidiomycota; Agaricomycetes; Agaricales; Cortinariaceae. The record is from RNAcentral.
GAACUUAAGCAUAUCAAUAAGCGGAGGAAAAGAAACUAACAAGGAUUCCCCUAGUAACUGCGAGUGAAGCGGGAAAAGCUCAAAUUUAAAAUCUGACAGUCUUUGGCUGUCCGAGUUGUAAUCUAGAGAAGUGUUAUCCGCGCUGGACCGUGUACAAGUCUCCUGGAAUGGAGCGUCAUAGAGGGUGAGAAUCCCGUCUUUGACACGGACUSCCAGGGCUUUGUGAUGCACUCUCAAAGAGUCGAGUUGUUUGGGAAUGCAGCUCAAAAUGGGUGGUAAAUUCCAUCUAAAGCUAAAUAUUGGCGAGAGACCGAUAGCGAACAAGUACCGUGAGGGAAAGAUGAAAAGAACUUUGGAAAGAGAGUUAAACAGUACGUGAAAUUGCUGAAAGGGAAACGCUUGAAGUCAGUCGCGUUGUCCAGGGAUCAACCUUGCUUUUGCUUGGUGUACUUUCUGGUUGACGGGUCAGCAUCAAUUUUGACUAUUGGAAAAAGAUUAGGGGAAUGUGGCAUCUUUGGAUGUGUUAUAGCCCUUGGUUGUAUACAAUGGUUGGGAUUGAGGAACUCAGCAUGCCGCAAGGCCGGGUUUUUAACCACGUACGUGCUUAGGAUGCUGGCAUAAUGGCUUUAAUCGACCCGUCUUGAAACACGGACCAAGGAGUCUAACAUGCCUGCGAGUGUUUGGGUGGAAAACCCGAGCGCGUAAUGAAAGUGAAAGUUGAGAUCCCUGUCGUAGGGAGCAUCGACGCCCGGACCAGACCUUUUGUGACGGUUCCGCGGUAGAGCAUGUAUGUUGGGACCCGAAAGAUGGUGAACUAUGCCUGAAUAGGGUGAAGCCAGAGGAAACUCUGGUGGAGGCUCGUAGCGAUUCUGACGUGCAAAUCGAUCGUCAAAUUUGGGUAUAGGGGCGAAAGACUAAUCGAACCAUCUAGUANCUGGUUCCUGCCGAAGUUUCCCUCAGGA